This 10337-nucleotide long non-coding RNA is filed under the name Triticum aestivum (bread wheat). RNAcentral's name for it is "long non-coding RNA (TAES_LNC010391)". The stretch from base 1878 to 1992 matches the Rfam family "MIR1120/MIR1122 microRNA precursor family". The record is from RNAcentral. Lineage: Eukaryota; Viridiplantae; Streptophyta; Magnoliopsida; Poales; Poaceae.
AGGUGGCCGGCGGAAUCACGCAGGUAGGCGGCGGCGGAAUCGCGCAGGUGGUCGGCGGUUGGUCCUGGCGACGCGCGGUGGAAUCGGGGACCAGCUCGCCUCCGGUGGGCGGCGGAAUCAAUGGGCAGCUGUUCUCGGGUGGGCGGCGCGGGUGUUCGUGGGUGUCUGCGAUCGCCGGAAUCGCCAGCACGGCGGCGGAAUCCGACCGCGCCGGCCCCUGGCGACGGGAGGACGGGCGGAGGGAGGAGAAGGAGACUGGUACCUACUUCAGACAGUUUUCAAAUUUCGAGGGUUGUUUUGCAAAAAGAACAUUACACUGCGCUCUGGACAACUUUUCCCGGACGGAGGGAGUACCUUUGGCAAUUGCUCUGUCCAGCCUAUUAAUCACCGAUAAAGGUUUUGAUGCAAUCUACGGAAUAAGCUCACAUUGUUGAUUGCAGGAUCAGAAGAUGCUUUACACAUAAUUGUGUGAUGCUCAGAGACAUUUUGCACAACGGAAACUUCUUGUGAAGCUUGAUCUUAUUCAGGUGCCUAACUGACUACGGCUUACUAGGUGUUUGUGCUUACCAGUAUGCCAGAAACUUCUUGGAAGCUCGCCGUUUCAGGUGCCUAACUGACUGCCGCUUUCUAUGUUCAUGCUUAUUUGCAGCCAGAUAGUGAUUUUGGGCUGAAAGAUUAUUGCAAGCUUAGAAUCUUUUAAAGGUCCUUAUUGACAUGACUUGUAUGAUAAACUUCCAAAAUAUUCAUUUAACGUUGCUAUUUUUCUUUUCAGAGCCAUAUGAAUUUUUUAUAGAAACAUGAGCAGAAUAAAAUGGAAACAGCUUCUGGUACAUCUGAGGUAUAAAAUCGGCAAUCUUCGUUGAAUGUUGAGCUUUUUCAUCUAUAACUGUGUUUUCUUUAAAGUUAACUACAGAAGCAUUGCUUUUAUUCACAGGUUUUGCUUUUCUUUCAUGUUUCCUAUCCAACAUAAAAUCUGUGUCACUGGUUGUAGUCAUCGCUUCUAAAGUCAACGCUGCCUUUUCUGUCACAGGUUUACUGGUUUUUCUAUUUUCAUUCCUAUGGCCUGUAUUUUUGUAGCGAGCUUCUUUUAUGCUUGGUUACCAAACUUAUCAAUUAGCAUGCCUAUUUCUCUGCAUUGUAUAGCCUUUAUUAUAUUAUAACUGUAAAGAAUGCAGUUUGAGGAUAAUCUGCCAAUUCUUCUGUAUUGGAUAUGAAAUAAUUAGGCAUUUCUAAAUUGUCUUGAAUUUCCCUGAACUGAAAAAUGGACUGAUCUACUUGCUGCCUGUGCUACUAAACAUAAAACUGAAAAACCUUUUACUGCCAUUUUGUUGGUACUUUCCAUAAUGAACUUGGUUUCUGUUCACACACAUGUACUGCUACAUUAUCCUAUACAUGUUGUCUGAAUUAUGUGAGAGGAUACUGCCAUUUUGUUGGUACUUUCCAUAUUGAAUUCAGUGUAGCAGACAUCAGCAAGUUUGAGAUGUAGCACUCUUCACUUUUGUCGCUGGUUUACAUCUGUCAAUCCUAGAAAUUGAUUAGUGCCUUCUGUUUUGACUCUAGAUUUGAAUAGUGCCCAGGUAGUGUUCAUUAGUAGGUUAAAAGGACGUUCAACUUAUUUAUUAAAUCAUGAUGUACAAAAGGUUUAGCUAAUUGGGACUCCAAGUCUGCAACCAAAGUAGAAAUAAGGCCAUGGAGCAAGAGUUCCGUUGGGCAUCCUUUGCAUUUCUCUUGUCAUGUUCCAUGCUUCACAACAUGUGGGUAAACAUAUCAGUACACACGCACACUGCAGUUUGUAAUGUCAUUUAAUAGGGGAUGCAUUAGGGUACUUUAUUUCCAUUAUAAACUAAUAAUAAUUAAGAGCUUAGUAAGGUAACAAUAAUCUACUCCCUCCGUUCUAAAUUACUUGUCGCAGAAAUGGAUGUAUCUAGAACUAAAAUACAUCUAGAUACAUCCAUUUCUGCGACGAGCAAUUCGGAACGGAGGAAGUAGGAUAUACAGUAGAAUAUUAGAUGUGCUUGUAUAAGUAGAAUGCAGAGUUUAGAAAUGAACUGAAAUCUUAGAGCAGGAAGUGGUAGGCUUAAUUUCAUUUAGAAAAAUAGGUGUACUGCAGCAUCAUAUAUUAAGGUAAUCCCUCAGCCAAAACAAAUUGGAGGGGAAGAUCGUCAAGUUAGCGACCCAGUUUUCAUUCUGUGGGCUUUCCUUUCUUCAAAGAAAGCUCCAGCCCGAGCAAGGGCAUAUCAGCUACAAUAUCGAUCAGUUGGUUGAUUAUGUCGCCCAUUUUGUAAAUUCAACUUAGCAAUAAAGCAUUGACAAGUGUGUUCACUUCUCUCCAUCCCAAACAAAAUAUCAUCAUCUGGUUCUUUAAUCUGUUUUUAAUCCUUAUAUCAGUCUGCGACGAUGGAACCAAUUUUUCACCCAAUCUGAACUGGUUGUUUUACCUCUUCUUUUUUACUCUCCAUAAAUGUACAGCUUUAUAAAAGUUGUUGUAUUGCUUGGGGCCAAUUUACUUAUAUUAUGCCCAACUUUAGCUCAUGAACUGCAUGGCGAAACCUAAUUCUGGUUGGUCUUCUGCCACUUGUUUUAUGGCUGUCUAGGCAACGGAUGGCAUUCUUCUUUGUUGCCAAUUGUGAAUUAUUUUGUAGAAGGCCUCUCAGCAGCUACCUAUGCUUUGCGAGGUUCUGACAGUAUGUAGCUAGCAUGUAUGGUUUUUACAUACUUCUGCAUAGGUUGAGAUGCAUCACAUGAUCUUCUCUUGAUUGAUGGGUAUUGGAGAGUCCUUUCUUUGCCACAAAGGGCAGGAGCUAUGCCAUUCAACUCAAAAGGACAAAGAGUUCAUCACAAGGGGGUGGUCUCUAGGAUAUUUACACAAAAGAGGAAAUUUCUUUUUGUAUAGAACCGAAUUAUACUAUCUAAUUGAGUAAAUUAUAUCAUGUAUUAAGUACAUUUUAUUGUGUCACCAAGUUUACUACUACUCAGACUUUCUAAUUGCAGGCUCAACUAUUUGGACCCACUGAUCUGAUUUUGUUUGGUUUGUGUAUGUGUAUACUGAUGUCUGGUGAAUCCCUAAAGAACCAAAUCUUCAUUCCUAUCUCGUAUAUGCUAUCUUAAAUGCAAAGUGUUAGCUACUCCAGUCUCAUGUUUGAAAAUGUGAUUGAUUAUAAAUUGCGCACACUUUUGUAUAUAUUUGCAAAGAAAAAAAUCCUUAUUAAUUUUUUAUUAAAAUGGUUUGCGUCGGUACCUUGAGUGGUUGCUCAUACUUAAAGUUACUAACAAAUACAAGUAUUUUCAAUGUGCUCAUGGUUUUAAAUGAUACUGACUCUACGCCUAAGUGGUUGCUAAAACCUAUUUUUACCGAGAAAGACAAACCUUUCCAAAAGACUUACUGUACAGAAUUUGAAAAACAAUUCUAUUUGAUUUUUUCAUACCAAGACAUGUUUUUUUUUAAAUUAGACUAUACAUUAAGUUAAGCCGUGUAUAUUCAUAUCAUUAUGAAAAACCAUUUCAUAGUGUUUCUUAUUAGAGGGGGAUUAAACCAUGGGAUUUUGUUUCAUUGUGAACAUGAUUUUAGUGUGUCUUUGCGCCAUUUGGCGCAACGGGUCCACUAGUAUAUAAUAAAGAGUAGUUUUGAGUUGAGAGCUUUGCUUUGUUGCUAUGAUCUUGAGGGAAUUAAAUAAGAGAAAGGAAUAAAAAGAAAUAAAAAGAUCAUAUAUUGAUCUUAUGGAGAGUAAUGACUUCACAUAUAAAGAAUAUGAUAAAUACAAGUUGUUGAGAGUUGACAAACAUAGUAUUGGUCAUUGUUGCAAUUAAUAUGAAGUAAUAAAGAAAGAGAGGCUUCACAUAUAAAUAUACUAUCUUGGAAGUCUUUUGUAAUUGUGAUCACUCAUUAAUAUAUGACAUGCUAAAAGGUUGAUGUUGGACAAAGAAGACAACACAAUGGGUUAUGUUUUCUUAUAUCCGAAUAGAAGUUAUAUUGUCUUGGAUCCUCCAACAUGUUGAACUUGCCUUUCCCUCUUAUGCUAGCCAAAUCCUUUGCACCAUGUAGAGAUACUACUUGUGCUUCCAAACAUCCCUUAAACCAGUUUUGCCAUGAGAGUCCAUCAUACCUACCUAUGGAUUGAGUAAGAUCCUUUAAGUAAGUUGUCAUCGGUGCAAGCAAUAAAAAAUGCUCUCUAAAUAUGUAUGAUCUAUUAGUGUGAAAAAAUAAGCUUUAUACGAACCGUGAUAUGGAAGAAAUAAAAGAGAUAGACUGCAUAAUAAAGUUCUUUAUCACAAGCGGCAAUGUAAAGUUACGUUCUUUUGCAUUAAGAUUUUGCAUCCCACCAUAAAAGCGCAUGGCAACCUCUGCUUCCCUCUGUGAAGGGCCUAUCUUUUACUUUUAUCUUCUACCCUUAUACAAGAUUCAUGGUGAUCAUCACCUUUCCUUUUUAUACUUUUUCUCUUUGGCAAGCGCUAUGUGUUGGAGAAAGAUUUAUAUAGGUUAGCAUAAAGUAUUAUUGUUGACAUUACCCUUGAGGUAAAAGAUUAGGAGGCGAAACUAUAAACACCUAUCUUUCACUGUGUCCGAUUGAAGCUUUGAACAUAUAAGUACCGCGUGAGUGUUAGCAAAUUGUGAAAGACUAAAUGAUAGUUGAGUAUUUGGACUAGCUGAAAAGCUUUUGAAUUGACUUUUUCUCAUUUUAUGAUAAAUUGAAAUUGCCUCAAUAACUGAGAUCAUAGUUUGUUAGUUUUCAAUGAAGUUUCCGAUUCAUACUUUACCUUGUGAACGAAUUGUUACUUUGGCAUAAGAAAUUAUAUGACAUUAUAUGUUGCUGUUCUAAAAAGAUGAUCAUGAUGUUCUCAUGUUCGUAUUUUAUUUUAUCGACACCUCUAUCUCUAAACAUGUGGACAUAUUUUUUGAUUUCGGCCUUCGCUUGAGGACAAGCGAGGUCUAAGCUUGGGAGAGUUGAUACGUCCAUUUUGCAUCAUGCUUUUAUAUUGACUAGUAAAUGCGCACGUGCAAUGCACGUUAAUAUUUAGGCAAUAUAUUAAUUGCACGCAGAUAUUAGGUAUGAUAUUAUUUGUGUGUUAAUUCUGUGAUUACUGCAAUAGUUAGUAUGAUAUUAAUCACACGUUAAAUAUGUUGAACGCUCGCCAUUGGAGCAGUCUAGGUCGUUGGAUUGACUUAGUUUGAUGGCCAAGAUCAAUUGGAUCUGCCCCUUUGGGUCUUUCUAUAUUGGUAUAGAUAUAGAUAUUAAUUGCACACAGAUAUUAGGUAUGAUAUCAUUUGUGUGUUAAUUCUGUCAUUAGUGCAAUAGUUGGUAUGAUAUUAAUUGCACGUUAAACAUGUUGAACGCUCGCCAUUGGAGCAGUCUAGGUCGUUGGAUUGACUUAGUUUCACGGCCGAGAUUAAUUGGAUCUGCCCCUUUGGGUCUUUUUAUAUUGGUAUAGAUAUUUAUUGCAUUAUGGGCUGUUAUUACACAUUAUGACACAAUACUUAUGCUUUUUCUCUCUUAUUUUACAAGGUUUACACAAAGGGGGAGAAUGCCCGCAGCUGGAAUUCUGGACCGGAAAGGAGCAAAUCUGAGAGACCUAUUCUGCACAACUCCAAAAGUCCUGAAACUUCACGAAGAAUUGUUUUGGAAUAAAAAAUAUUGGGCGAAGAAAGCACCCGAGGGAACCCACCAGUCAACUAUAAGGAUGGGGGCGCGCCCUACCCCCUGGGCGUGCCCCCUGCCUUGCCGGCAGCCUAGCAGGCCCCCCGUGCCCAUCUUUUGCUAUACGAAGGGUUUUUACCUUGAAAAAAAUUAAAAGAAAGCUUUCAGGAUGAAGUGUCGCUGUCUCGAGGUGGGACUUGGGCAGAACCAAUCUAGGGCCCCGGCGGAGCUAUUCUGCAGGGGAAACUUCCAUCCCGAAGGGAGAAAUCGAAGCCAUCGUCAUCACCAACAAUCCUCUCGUCAAGAGGGGGUCAAUCUCAAUCAACAUCUUCACCAACACCAUCUCCUCUCAAACCCUAGUACAUCUCUUGUAUCCUAUCUUUGUCUCAAUACCUCAGAUUGGUACCUGUGGGGUGCUAGUAGUGUUGAUUACUCUUUGUAGUUGAUGUUAGUUGGUUUAUUCGGUGAAAGAUCAUAUGUUCAGAUCCUUAAUGAUAAUUAAUACUCCUUUGAUUAUGAACAUGAAUAUGCUUUUUGAGUAGUUACGUUUGUUCCUGAGGACAUGGGAGAAGUCUUGUUAUAAUUAAUCAUGUGAAUUUGGUAUUCGUUUGAUAUUUUGAUGAGAUGUAUGUUGUCUUUCCUCUAGUGUGGUGUUAUGUGAAUGCCGACUACAUGACACUUCACCAUUGUUUGGGCCUAGGGGAAGGCACUGUGAUGUAGUAAGUAGAUGAUGGGUUGCUAGAGUGAUAAAAGCUUAAACCCUAGUUUAUGCGUUGCUUCGUAAGGGGCUGAUUUGUAUCCAUAUGUUUCAUGCUAUGGUCAGGUUUAUCUUAAUUCUUCUUUCUUAGUUGCAGAUGCUUGCGAGAGGGGUUAAUCAUAAUGGGAGGCUUGUCCAAGGAUGGGAAGCAUCCAAGCACUGGUCCACCCACAUAUCAAAUUAUAAAAGUAACGAACGCAAAUCAUAUGAGCAUGAUGAAAACUAGCUUGACAACAAUUCCCAUGUGUCCUCGGGAGCGCUUUGCUUUAUAUACGAGUUCAUCCAGGCUUGUCCUUUGCUACAAAAAGGAUUGGGCCACCUUGCUGCACCUUAGUUACUUUUGUUACUUGCUUUCCCUUACGAAUGAUCUUAUCACACAACUAUCUGUUACCGACAAUUUUAAUGCUUGCAGAGAAUACCUUGCUGAAAACCGCUUGUCAUUUCCUUCUGCUUCUCAUUGGGUUCGACUCUCUUACUUAUCAAAAGGACUACGAUAGAUCCCCUAUAAUUGUGGGUCAUCAAUAUGCUGGGUGGUUGGCUUAGUUGGGUUUUUAGGACUUUAUUUUUCCAGGACAAGGCUUAGUUGGUUUGACAGACAAAGCGAGAGAAAGAUGUGAGAUGUGUGAAUGUGUAGUGGACGUACUAUUGGAGUGCCUAAGGUAAAUUGUGUAUGUAUACCUAUGUGGUUAUUUACUUCGUGUAACGCCCUCGAUGCAGCUAUAUCUCCUACGUGUCGAAGCACGACUUAGAGGCAUAACCGCAUUGAAAGCAAUAUUGCAAGUAAGGUAAUCUUCACAACAACCCAUGUAAAUAGAAUAUAAGGGGAAAAUUACAUAGUUGGCUUACACUCGCCACGUCACACAAAGUACAUAAAUAGCAUUACAUCAUCCAAUCACUCAUGGUCCGACUACGGUACCAAAAUAAAAGAUCAACCCAACAUGCGACACGGUCUCGAUCGCCCCAACUGGGCACCACUACUGAUCAUCAGGGAAAGACACAUAGUAACGGCGUGAGUCUUCGUCGAACUCCCACUUGAGCUCAAGCGCAUCAUCUGGAACGGAGUCAUCGGGCCCCGCAUCUGGUUUGGAAGUAAUCUGUGAGCCACGGGGACUUAGCAAUCUCGCACCCUCGCGAUCAAGACUAUUUAAGCUUAUAGGUAAGGCAAGGUAAUAUGUGGAGCUGCAGCAAGCGACUAACAUAUAUGGUGGCUAACCUGUUCGCAAAAGAGAGUGAGAAGAGAGGGCAAAGCGCGAACGAAGAACUAGAGAACAACCUACGGCAAGCAUUACUCCAACACCGUGUUCGCUUCCCGGACUCCGCCGAGAAGAGACCAUCACGGUAACACACACAGUUGAUUCAUUUUAAUUAAGUUAAGGUUCAAGUUAUCUACAACCGGACAUUAACAAAUUCCCAUCUGCCCAUAACCGCGGGCACGACUUUCGAAAGUUCAAAUCCCUGCAGGGGAGUCCCAACUUAGCCCAUGACAAGCUCUCACGGUCAAUGAAGGAUAAACCUUCUCCCGAGACAUUCCGAUCAGACUCGGUAUCCCGGUUCUACAGGACAACUUCGACAAGUUAAAACAAACCCAGCAACACCGCCCGAAUGUGCCAACAAAUCCCGAUAGGAGCUGCACAUAUCUCGUUCUCAGGGCACACUCAGAUGAACACUACGUACAACUAAAACCAAACCUCGAGUUUCCCUGAGGUGGCGCUGCAAGUGGCUCUGUUUGGACCAACACUCAGAGGAGCACUUGCCCGGGGGGGUUUAAAUAAGAUGACCCUCGGGCUCCGGAAACCCAAGGGAAAAAGAGGCUAGGUGGCAAAUGGUAAAACCAAGGUUGGGCAUUGCUGGAAGAGUUUUAUUCAAGGCGAACUAUCAAGGGGUUCCCAUUAUCACCCAACCGCGUAAGGAACGCAAAAUCCGGGAACAUAACACCGAUAUGACGGAAACUAGGGCGGCAAGAGUGGAACAAAACACUAGGCAAAAGGCCGAGCCUUCCACCCUUUACCAAGUAUAUAGAUGCAUUAAUAUAACAAGAUAAUAUAGUGAUAUCCCAACAAGAAAAUAAUGUUCCAACAAGGAACGAUCUCCAAUCUUCACCUGCAACUAGCAACGCUAUAAGAGGGACUGAGCAAAGCGGUAACAUAGCCAAUCAACAGUUUGCUAGGACAUGGUGGGUUAGAGGUCUGACAUGGCAAUUUGGGAGGCAUGAUAGGCAAAUGGUAGGCAUCAUAGCAUAGGCAUAGCAAAAGAGCAAGCAUCUAGCAAAGCAAAGAUAGAAGUGAUUUCGAGGGUAUGAUCAUCUUGCCUACAAAGUUGUCAGAGUUGAUUGGAUCCUCGAAAGCAAACUCAACGGGCUCCUUAUUAGAGAACUCAUCUCUCGGCUCUACCCAAACAAGACAAACAAGAAAAAGGAACACAAUCAACCACGUGCAAAUGCUCGAACAACAUGAUACAAACAUGGUAUGCUAUGCGGGAUGCGGUAUGUGAUGCAUAUGCAAGAUUUGACAAGGAAUGAAAGAACCUGGCCUCAACUUGGAAAUCCAAGAGUUCCACUGGAAAGGUGAGGUGAUUUCGCUUGAAAUCGAUAUAAAUAACACCGGAAUCGGAUGCACGGUUAGGAAAUGGCAAGCAAAACAAAUAUGGCACCGGUCUGCGAUAAACAGCAAGUAUCCAUCUAAAUGCAUCAAGAUAAAUAUGCUACAACACUCAAACAUGGCAACAAAAUACAUGUCAGGGAUCCACUCAUAAUGCUUAACAAAAGAUGAACACUGAGCUACGGCCAAUUCAUCCAUUAACAGGUUCAAACAAGCAUGGCAAAAGUGCAAUUGGUAAACAGGUUUCAGACUUAGUGAAAUUAACACAAGCCUGGAAUUUCAGAUCAGGUAGCACACUUUGGAGCAAGAAAACUAUAUGCUAUAGGAACCUAACAUGGCAAAAUAAGGCAUGGCAUGGAGCUACUCAAAGAGCUUAACAAAAGUCCCUUAGUUACCUUGAGCCAAAAGGGAUCAGAAAAUACAAAUGCAAGCAUGUGAACAUGGCAAAAUCAUAAUCAGAUCUCAGACUUAGAGAAAAACUGGAGCAUGCAAAUCUGUUAACGAGUAGGAAUGUUUACGGGCUCAAUGCACUCACUACAGAGUAAGGCAUGACAUUCUAAGCACACACCCAUCAAGAAUACACAUUAUAUAAGCUAUGCAUGGAAAGAACAACAACAUAGCACACACGGAUCAACAACAACAUCCUCGGCAAAAUCGCUAACAAGUAGACAAUCUGCCCAGAUUCACGAAAUAGCAAAAGUAGAGCUCGAUUGACUCAAGCUAGGGUGCUCCAUAAAUGCAAACAAAGACAUGGAUGGAUAGAGCACCACAAUAUUAACAAAUCACCCUUACUGAUCAUCCUCAAAAGAGGCACGGAUCACUAGGAAACAACAUGAACAUAUGGCAUAUUGAUAAAAACAGAUCAAGGACUUAGUGGAAUUGCCAAGUCCCUGAAAUCAACAUUAACGAAUGCACCACUUUGCAAGCUUGUGCUAGUCACCACACAUAUCACAAAAAUACAUGGUAGGCACCUCUGGAAAGAUGGCAAAGCAUAUAACAAAACACAUGUAGAGCUCAGGAGCAUAUCAUGCACACAUUAAUCAUGGCAAAAAUGACAAAUAGCUAUUUGAUGCAGCAGAUCUGACAAUUAACUCAAAUAGCACUUUUUCAACAGCAUUUCGGGCAUCAAGAUGAGCUCAAAUGAAAAUGAAGCAAUGAGAUGAAAUGAUGUACUCUUUGAGACGAACAUUUUGAUAUGCUACACGCUCCAAAACGGAGCUACGAAUGCGGAGUUACGAUGCGUCAAAAUUUGCCAAAAUACUGAGAAACUGGGGACUUAGAGAAAAAUAUACCCUCCGGAUCUAGGGUUAAUGUAGCGUGGAUCUCAGAUCUGGGCGCACGCCAUUCGAG